RNAcentral lists this unclassified non-coding RNA (147 nucleotides) under soil metagenome. RNAcentral's name for it is "partial internal transcribed spacer 1". The record is from RNAcentral.
CCGAGUUUACAACUCCCAAACCCCUGUGAACAUACCACUUGUUGCCUCGGCGGAUCAGCCCGCUCCCGGUAAAACGGGACGGCCCGCCAGAGGACCCCUAAACUCUGUUUCUAUAUGUAACUUCUGAGUAAAACCAUAAAUAGAUCA